AAGAUGAUUUAUUAUAUACUGAAGAAGAAAAAAAAAAAAUAAAAAGAAACCUCCUUCACAGGGAUCGAUACAAUAUAAAGAAAAUAAGGACGAAUAUACAAAAUCAACCUGACAAGGCGGCUCUAGAUGAAACACGUUCAAAGCACUUGCAAAUGUCACUGGACAGACGAAGAAGGAAAUUAAAGCAAGUCAUUUUUCCCCUGCAAAACACAAACUGAAAACCUGAUUUUAUUUCUUAAAAUCCACAGCCCUGCCUUUACCUGUAGAUACUUCAGAUAAAACACACGAUUUUAGUUGUGAUACAUUUUUUUAAAGGAGAGAUUCCCAGAACUUUUGUUUGACCACAUUUAUUUCAAAGUGGAUUUUAUUUUCACUUCCAACUUUAUGCAGGAGGCAAAGAAGCCAGAUGAGCUCAAAACAACAGGAGCUAAGCCAUCUCAUCCAGAGCAACCUUGUAUAUAUGGUUGUAAAAUUUAAACAACACACCACAAACAAAAAAACCCAAAACACAUAUAUGAGAAAAGAACAUCAGUAUGAAAUUCCUGAAGGGUUUCAAGGCUUGUUCCUACUCAACUGAAGUCAAUGUACUUUAUUUUAGAUGGAACAAGACCAAAUCCUUAUAUAACCAAAUACACAUUCCUCAAAAAGCAAAACCUUAAGAGUGUUGUAACCCAAACAUAGAAGUAAAAGACAAAUUUUAGCCACGUACCUUGCCUGGCACUAGCCGACAUCAUAUAUUUACCUGGGAUAUUUCAUUUACUCCUGACUUGGCCAAGAUUCCCACUGGUUACAGUGAAUAUUACUUAAAUAACGUAGCAAAAGGACAUCAUGCAUUAGUAAGCUAAAAUAUGAACCCGUGCUUACAGCAAUAGCUUUCCCUUCUAAUGCCCUAUAAUGAGCAUCUAGAAAAGGAAAAGACAAGAAGCUUUACAGAAAAAAAUCUGCACUUAGUUACACUGAUGACCAUCCUAAGCAACUCCACAGAAGUUUUCAGGGUUCCUUUUGAUGUACAUGAAGAAAGCAGGAAGUCAAAAAUAGACCAGUGUUAGGCAAGAUUAUAACACAUUUACUAUUAGUGCAGAAUGCAAAAUAACAGCUAAUGCUUAAUACAAAUGAAAUAUUAUCACUUUCAAACUCCUUGCAAAUACAUGGAUUCCACAUAGUUUACUUCCUCACCUUAAAACAAAUGCUUAAAUGUAGUACAAACUUCAUAUGUGUCUAAAUAUAUCAUCCCAAGUUACCAAAGGAACCAUUGGAGGGGAAAAAAAAUAAAAAAAUAAAAAAAGAAAUAGACAUUUAAGAGAGUUGCAAGGAAAUUCCCAGUUUCUUUGCUAUGAAAAGAAACAAAGAAGACCCACUGAUUGGAUUUGUGUUUUUUCUUCAUUUCUUUUAGGUUGGGUUUUGUUGGUUGUUUGUGGAGUUUUUUUGCAUCAAGGGAAAGAAAACAAUACAUAUAUGGGAGGGAAAACAUUUUCACAAAUAUAAUAAAUACCAGUUCUGAUCCAAAAGCAAAGUGCGAUAUUGAGUUUUCCAUUUAAACAAAAACAACCUACAGAAUAAUGUCUUAAAUAUUAACAAAUCUAUUAGUGGUCAGCACAGUAAAAUAAAUAUGAACACAAUGAUUUAUAUUUUGUUUCUAGCAGCAACGGUCAUUAACCUACUGGCCAUUGUGACAGCUUCACAGAAGUCCUGUUUCUUGGGUUUGGUACUUUGUUUAACAUGAAAAAAAGAUUCAUUGGGGAAAAUGGUACUACAGCUGUAUGGAAUUGUCCCCAGCCCAUCUAUGUCAAAUAGGGUUUGGCCAGGACAUGUUUUCAAUAUGUUUUGAACACUGACUUAGAGGGCAGCUUUGGGUUUCACAAAAAAAAAAAAACCCAAAAAAACCAUCAGGAUCCCCCCAGUUUCUUCAUCUGACUGUUCGGAUUGUCCUGAACCCUAAAGGUAUUAGUGAGGUGGGGUGUUUUCUCUUUGCACUCAACAAUUUUCUAUGCUAGAGGGAGAGUAGUAAGGUCACAAACUGUUAAGCAAUGCUGAGGAGGGAAAGGAAAGCUUUGGUCACUUGUAGUGAAAGGCUGCAACAGAGCUCUGGGGCAAAGCGAGUCUCAGCUGCUUCUCCCAGCAAGAAAUAUCUUUCCUCCCAUGUAGGAAACCUGUCCUACACUUGUCACUUGAGUCAUGCUAUCUGCUUUAUGCUUGUUAUAUAAGCCACCACUUUGAAAUUCUUGGGAUGAUGACAUUCAUUUGUUGCAUUCCCUUGAACUAAAGCAGAUACAGACCUCUGUUCAGGGUAGACUCAAGCCAUUCCUCAAAACCAGAUGUGGCUCCAUGCAGAGAGGAGGACGUCCUGCAGGACAUCGCACCUCAUCGCACACCAUCCCAAACGCACUAGCACUGCCAUGUUGUGGCAUGUUUGCACCAGUUGUUACUAGGAGGUUACAGCACAGGGAGCAAUCUAAGUUUUGACACCUCUGUCAGUCACUGGAAAUGCCAAAUGAGGAGCAGAUCACUGGGCUGGGAGCAGGGACAGGAACCAAAGCACAGUGGUGAACAGCUGAUUUUUGGGACACAUGAAAGCAAGCAAAAAUGCUUUCUUGGCCCUAGCAACAAGCUAGACAACAUUAGUACCUACAGCUCCUCCAGCUCGUAUUUCACAGUGGUGUUGUUCUGCUACUAAUUGCAGCCUGCGGGAAAUGCCACGCUUUAAUUUGCAGCAAGAGGGAUGUUUAACCAUAAUGCAGGGAUCACUCUGGUGAAGCACAGUGUGAUAUGGCUCAUGCAAUUCCCUCUGUCCCUGUACAGUG
This is a long non-coding RNA of Strigops habroptila (Kakapo), 2801 nucleotides long. NCBI's taxonomy places the organism in Eukaryota, Metazoa, Chordata, Aves, Psittaciformes, Psittacidae. The record is from Ensembl.